Molecule: ribosomal RNA, 497 nt
Filed under: uncultured bacterium
Lineage: Bacteria
Description: partial 16S ribosomal RNA
Rfam family: Bacterial small subunit ribosomal RNA
Source: RNAcentral
GAUGAACGCUGGCGGCGUGCCUAAUACAUGCAAGUCGAGCGAACAGAUGAGGAGCUUGCUCCUCUGACGUUAGCGGCGGACGGGUGUGUAACACGUGGAUAACCUCCCUAUCAGUCUGGGAUCAUUUCGGGAAACCGGAUCUAAUCCCGGAUAAUAUAUUGAACCGCAUGGUUCAAUAGUGAAAUACGGCUUUGCUGUCACUUAUAGCUGGAUCCGCGCCGCAUUAGCUAGUUGGUAAGGUAACGGCUUACCAAGGCAAGGAUGCGUAGCCGACCUGAGAGGGUGAUCGGCCACACUGGAACUGAGACACGGUCCAGACUCCUACGGGAGGCAGCAGUAGGGAAUCUGGCGCAAUGGGCGAAAGCCUGACGGAGCAACGCCGCGUGAGUGAUGAAGGUCUUCGGAUCGGAAAACUCUGUUAUUAGGGAAGAACAAAUGUGUAAGUAACUAUGCACGUCUUGACGGUACCUAAUCAGAAAGCCACGGCUAACUACGUG